CGAACGCUGGCGGCGUGCUUAACACAUGCAAGUCGAACGGCAAGGCCCUGCUUGCAGGGUACUCGAGUGGCGAACGGGUGAGUAACACGUGGGUGAUCUGCCCUGCACUUCGGGAUAAGCCUGGGAAACUGGGUCUAAUACCGGAUAGGAGCCAUUUUUAGUGUGAUGGUUGGAAAGUUUUUUCGGUGUAGGAUGAGCUCGCGGCCUAUCAGCUUGUUGGUGGGGUAAUGGCCUACCAAGGCGGCGACGGGUAGCCGGCCUGAGAGGGUGGACGGCCACAUUGGGACUGAGAUACGGCCCAGACUCCUACGGGAGGCAGCAGUGGGGAAUAUUGCACAAUGGGCGCAAGCCUGAUGCAGCGACGCCGCGUGGGGGAUGACGGCCUUCGGGUUGUAAACUCCUUUCGCUAGGGACGAAGCUUUUUGUGACGGUACCUAGAGAAGAAGCACCGGCUAACUACGUG
RNAcentral lists this ribosomal RNA (463 nucleotides) under uncultured bacterium. RNAcentral's name for it is "partial 16S ribosomal RNA". It matches the Rfam family "Bacterial small subunit ribosomal RNA", at positions 30 to 507 of the family's 1533-position model. The record is from RNAcentral.